UGGGAAUUUUGGACAAUUGGGCGAAGCUGAUCCAGCAAUGCCGCGUGUGUGAAGAAGGCCUUCGGGUUGUAAAGCACUUUUUGUCCGGAAAGAAAUCCUUGGCUCUAAUACAGUCGGGGGAUACGGUACCGGAAGAAUAAGCACCGGCUAACUACGUGCCAGCAGCCGCGGUAAUACGUAGGGUGCAAGCGUUAAUCGGAAUUACUGGGCGUAAAGCGUGCGCAGGCGGUUUGCUAAGACCGAUGUGAAAUCCCCGGGCUCAACCUGGGAACUGCAUUGGUGACUGCAGGCUAGAGUAUGGCAGAGGGGGGUAGAAUUCCACGUGUAGCAGUGAAAUGCGUAGAGAUGUGGAGGAAUACCGAUGGCGAAGGCAGCCCCCUGGGCAAGUCACUGACGCUCAUGCACGAAAGCGUGGGGAGC
Molecule: ribosomal RNA, 420 nt
Filed under: uncultured bacterium
Lineage: Bacteria
Description: partial 16S ribosomal RNA
Rfam family: Bacterial small subunit ribosomal RNA
Source: RNAcentral